UGCGCAGGCGGUUUGUUAAGUGAGAAGUGAAAGCCCACGGCUUAACCGUGGAACGGCUUCUCAUACUGGCAGACUAGAGUAUGGGAGAGGGAAGUGGAAUUUCCGGCGUAGCGGUGAAAUGCGUAGAGAUCGGAAGGAACACCCGUGGCGAAGGCGGCUUCCUGGACCAUGACUGACGCUGAGGCACGAAAGCGUGGGGAGCAAACA
RNAcentral lists this ribosomal RNA (207 nucleotides) under uncultured bacterium. RNAcentral describes it as "partial 16S ribosomal RNA". It matches the Rfam family "Bacterial small subunit ribosomal RNA", at positions 568 to 774 of the family's 1533-position model. The record is from RNAcentral.